RNAcentral lists this unclassified non-coding RNA (204 nucleotides) under Hevea brasiliensis (rubber tree). The record is from RNAcentral. Lineage: Eukaryota; Viridiplantae; Streptophyta; Magnoliopsida; Malpighiales; Euphorbiaceae.
CCACUUAAGGAAGGAGGGAGGGAGGGAGGGUCGUGGGCCGAGCAGACGCGAGGAGUGAGCAAGGAAAUCGCAGGAAGACACACACAGAGAGAGGGAGAGAGAUGGGGGGAGAGACGAGCGGUAAACCACAAUUCUUGGCCGUGUCCCGUCGCUACUGACUUCUCUUCUCGCCUUUGCUAGCCAUGCCGACUCUUCUUGCUGUUG